Molecule: ribosomal RNA, 374 nt
Filed under: uncultured microorganism
Description: bacterial SSU rRNA
Rfam family: Archaeal small subunit ribosomal RNA
Source: RNAcentral
GUGCAGCAGGCGCGAAACCUCCGCAAUGCACGCAAGUGUGACGGGGGAUUCCAAGUGUUAUUGCAUUUUGUGUGAUAACUUUUCUUAAAUGUAAAUAGUUUGAGGAAUAAGGGCUGGGUAAGACGGGUGCCAGCCGCCGCGGUAAUACCCGCCAGCUCAAGUGGUCUGGAGUUUUAAUUGGGUCUAAAGCGUUCGUAGCUGGGUCUAUAAGUUCUCUGUGAAAUCUAACGGCUUAACCGUUAGGCGUGCAGAGGAUACUGUAGACCUCGAGACUGGGAUGGGUCAAGGGUACUCUCGGGGUAGGGGUGAAAUCCAAUAAUCCUGAGGGGACCACCUGUGGCGAAGGCGCUUGGCUAGAACAGGUCUGACAGUGA